RNAcentral lists this long non-coding RNA (539 nucleotides) under Homo sapiens (human). RNAcentral describes it as "HSALNT0189908". Lineage: Eukaryota; Metazoa; Chordata; Mammalia; Primates; Hominidae. The record is from RNAcentral.
CCCAUGGCCUGUUAGAAACCAGGCCACACAGCAGGAGGUGAGCAGCAGACAAGCAAGCAAAGCUUCAUCUGUAUUUACAGCCACUCCCCAUCACAGGCAUUACUGCCUGAGCUCCGCCUCCUGUCAGAUGGGACCAUGUAGAUACAGGAAAACAAGCUCAGGGCUCCAACUGAUUCUACAUCAUGAUAUCCUUUCAGGUCCUGCACACCAGUGAAACUAAUGAGGUCAGCUGAUCUGAAGGACCCCAUCGACAUCAGCAGUUCUGAAGGAUCAUACAAGGAGCUGACUCACUGAAUGCAGUUUCCACAUCCUGACGACUUCAUCCCUUUGACCCCAACCACUCAAUGACCCCAAUUUUCCAGUCCCUCAUUCUCCACAAUCCCCUUAAAAACCCCAGCCCAGAACUCCUCAGGGAGAUGGACUUGAAGAUCUCCUCUCAUCUCCUUGCUCAGCCGCCCUGCAAUCAUUAAACUCUUUCUCUGCUGCAAACCCUACUGUCUCAGUGUAUUGGUAUGUUGCUGUGCAGUGGGCAUACAAAC